UUGAUAAGCUGUUGCUAAAGCAUUUCUACGCAGAAAUGAAACCAUUACAGUGAUUUUUCCUCUUUUGCUGCUUCUCAGGAGUCAUGAGGCCUCUCCCAAUGACUCAGUGAUAUUCUCUCCUCACUAGGUGUUCCAACAGUACCUGCCAUUCCCAAAGAAGAGACCUGCUGACAGACAUCCCUGCCUUUCUGUGCUGUGAGCUUCGUGCCACUGCAGUUAAUGCCAGCUGAGGAUUAAACCUAGAGAGCUGUAGUUUUCCAACUUCCAUAAUCCCACUGCUGUUAAAGAAAAGGUUCAGGAAUCAAGCUGUCACUUUAGGUUUCCACAGCUGUAGAUAGAAGUGUCUCCAUGAAUAUCAGAAAUGUGAACAACUGGUUGUCCUGUCAGGCUUUCUGAUUUGGAGACAAGUUAUCAAAGAAGAUACUUGGCUACCGAGAUGAAGUCUGUCACACAAAGCCUGAAACAGAAGCACACCAGAGCACAGCAGUGCUCAGUGUCCUUCCUGCAGCCAGAGGUAUCCCCAAACCCCAGGGAGCAGGGAUACCUUGUCCAGGAAGCACGAAUGCCUGUGUGGGAGCUGGAGGAACAGCUUGCUGCCUUUGGAAAGGUGACUGCUCAGCAGGGGAGCUGGGACAGGAGGAAGGAGAUGUGGAACCUGAAGGGCUGCUUGUUUCCAGUGAAGUGUCUUUAUUUGGUAUCUUCAUUCUCUUCCAAGGUACCAAAGAGAGGGACAGGAAUUCAUUUGCAAGCCUUAUGUAAUAUCCAGCCCUGCCAAGAGGUGCAUGCUGGGGGCUCCCUCUCCCCACACAGCACUCCAGGAUUCAGGAAUGCCUCCGCUUCCUUAUCUUUUGCAGAAGGCAAGCACAGACCUCCUACAAGAUCAUCUCCCACCUCUACUGUGCAUCUGUUCAUUUUCUGCCUGUCAAGGCUCUUCAGAAUUUAAAAGAUCUUGCAGGAGAUAGGAGAACAAGAUUUCAAGUUUGAGUGCAUCAGAUGCGACGUGAAACAUGAAUUUUUAUUGCUUGACUUAUUUUUCUUAAUUUUUUCUUUUAUUUUUUUUUUAAGUGGAAAAGAGAAAGGAGAACUGCUGCGUAGGGAACUGUUGCUUGCAGUAUAUCUUUCUCAGCAGUAAAAAUAUCUCCAAGACAGAAGUACAGUUCUCUUUUUAGUCCUGACACCUCCAAAGCCUGAUAUAUGUGGCUGAGCUAGAUGGAAAGGUAUUAUUAGGUUUUUUCUUGGAUUAUGAUGCAAGCUCAAGCUGGCUGGGCUCAUCAGGCAGUAAAUCCAGUGCAAACAGCUGGGGCCAAAUUCUGCUCUUGUCCAUGUUGCUGUUUGUGGCCAGAAUUCCUCUCCACUGGGAUCCUGGUUCCCUUCUAUCACUUGUGAGGGUGUACCCAGGGCAUGACUUACAGUGCAACCUGUCAUUGACAGAUUAAUUCUGACUACAUGCUAUUCAAGAAAAAAAUAAAAAGAGUUAUUCUUCCUUACACAGAACAGGAAUCCAAAAUUCAGGCCUUAAUCACACAGCUAAGAUUUGUUAGGUAUGGCACGGGGAGUUGUUUAUACAGGGCUUUUACCAUCAGUGACUUCUUGUUUCAAAAAUAAGCCCUUUUCAACUCCUUUCUGGUGUAAAGAAGUGAAUCAAACUGUGUUAAAGCGUGUAAAGACCUGGAGAUCUCCUGUUGACCUCAGCGGGGACUGCACAACGAUUGGGGAUCUGUGAGCACAGCCAGUGCUUUCCCUGUGCCAGGCAGUGUCCCAGCCUCACUAACAGCUCCCUGCAGGAAUGUCAAACCCAUUUUAAACCUGCUCCCAGUGCUGCCUGUGGAAGGGGCUGCCCAAAGGCACAGGUAUCAACCCAGGCCAACCCCCCAGAUGAUCCAUGACAGAGGAGCAACUGUACACUCAUAAAAACACCAAAUAGGUGCUGUAAUUCUAAAGGUCUCAACGCUUCAAGAUUUGCUGCAGAAAGAAUAAAAGCUCACCUGAAAAUAUGGCCAGUUUGAGAAAAUGAAAACUGUCCUGUCAGAAGCCAAGUUCUUGCUUAAAUGUCCCUAAGACAUAUUGCAGCAGAGCCGUAAAUCCAGAUGCCACCGCGUGUGGUUCUCAAGCCAAGCUUCCAAAAACCCCAACCUUUGUGAAUAUCUUUAUUUAUCAACCUAAAUUCAGCGCUGAGAUGAGCGACUUCAGCUGAAAGCAGCAGAAUAUACGUGAAACAGUAAAUAUUUUCCAAUUUAUUGCUGUAUUUGCAGCACCACCUUUUCAGAGUUUGUAGUCGUUCCCUCACACACUGAGAAAAUAUGUCUUCAUCUAAAAGCAGUGAAAAAUAAUAUUUCUGGCCCCCGUCUUAAUAGGCAUUCUGGCCUGAUACAGAUGCCAGUACUCCUGAGGCUCUUGUGGGGACAGUCUUCUCUAAAAAUUUCCACGUUUUAAUAAUGUUCAUCUCCUUUAGUGUUUCAAAACAAGUAUAAAAUCCUUAUCCUGGCCCUCCUGUUUAAGCAGUUUUCCUGUUCCUUUCCCGCUGACCUGUGCAUUGGGUGGACCAAGGGCAAGUAAUGGUCAGAUUUCUUUUAUUUUUUUUUCCCAGACAACCAUUUAAAAGAGGUAAAAAUUACACAAGACAUUGCAAGGCACUGGAAUUGCCUUGAAUUUGCCACUGUAAUUCUCCUUGUUCUCCUUUUCCCAGAGACAGCUGAAAAUAAGCUGCUCGAAAGAAGAAUUAUGUGUGAUACGAUCUGAGUUCAACUCAUCACUUAUCUUGCAUCACUAGUGUCCAAUAGACACUUCAGGCCAUUUGUUCUUUGGACAAUGAUCUGAAAUUGUUCCUGGAAUUUUAGGAACAAGAUCCCUUUCAGUUACAGUCUAAAAUCAGUGGGAUGAUUUCAUGAGAGAUUAGUUACUUGGGUGAAAAUUGGAAUCAAUCCGAAAAGUUUUCUGUUCUGAGUUCAGAAUUCUUGGUCCUGACAAUAUCUUUUACAUAACCAAAAAUGCAGGUGAAUGAAGAGCCAUCUGAACAGAGGUGAUUUCAUUACCAGGCUGGAUUGUCUCUGCAGCAUUCCUAUGAAAUGGAACGUGCUUACAUUUCACAGUAAUUUAUGUGGUCAUAGAAAUAUCUCUG
This is a long non-coding RNA of Lepidothrix coronata (blue-crowned manakin), 3118 nucleotides long. RefSeq lists it as uncharacterized. NCBI's taxonomy places the organism in Eukaryota, Metazoa, Chordata, Aves, Passeriformes, Pipridae. The transcript is spliced from 4 exons. The record is from RefSeq and is a predicted model, not a curated record.